GGCCAGGAGAACCGAGCUCGGGUCCAGUCCCUCAAGCUCCCUUGUUAAACAGAAGUGUUGAGAGCCUAGAUGCCAGGCCCCAGGUGCCAGGGCCACGGAGUAACCCACAGACCACGGCUCCCGCUCCGGAGGAGUGUGCGGUCUGGGGCGCCCCAUCUCGAGGGACAAGCACCGACAAAUACCACCACGGAACAACCCACGGAGGCCUAGCUGUGGGGCCGGCCACGGAGCACGCUGUGCAGAAUUCCCCGGUCGUGUUCCUGCCCACACAGAAGGCAGGGGCGGUGGUGGGCUCAGCAGGCCAUGCCAAACCCCGGGCUGCCCCAGGAUUCAAAGAAGCUCCGCAGCACAUCACAGCGGAGUAGGGGAUCUGAAUCCGCACAACAGAGCCUGGAGACGUUCAAUCAACAAAGAUGGCCUUUGAACUCUCCUUGAUCCAAAAGGGGAGAGGACUGUGUGCUGCUCCGUGGGCGCCUACCUGGUUGUCGCUUUUAUCUUCCAUCAAUAAAAUCGGCUUUGUAAUUUUUACUUAUGUAGCCACCCAGGGGCCAUCCUUAUAAAACAGUGGUUAAAAGCUUGGGCUCAGAUGGGCCUGAGUUCAAAUUCAGGUUCUACUGUGCAUGAGCUGCGUGACCCGAGGCACGUGGGAUGCGCUCUCCAGGUCUCGAGUGGCUUACCUGUAGGAUGAAAAUAAGAGUAUCCUCGCCUUCCUCACUAAUGUUGCCGCGAGCUUCAAGUGAGAAUGCAGUUUGUACGUGUCUGACGUGUGGUCAACACUGAAUAAAUGUAAACUGUG
Canis lupus familiaris (dog) is the source of this 796-nucleotide long non-coding RNA. RefSeq lists it as uncharacterized. NCBI's taxonomy places the organism in Eukaryota, Metazoa, Chordata, Mammalia, Carnivora, Canidae. The record is from RefSeq and is a predicted model, not a curated record. The transcript has 2 exons.